Molecule: transfer RNA, 82 nt
Filed under: Thermothelomyces thermophilus ATCC 42464
Lineage: Eukaryota; Fungi; Ascomycota; Sordariomycetes; Sordariales; Chaetomiaceae
Description: tRNA-Asp
Rfam family: tRNA
About the family: Transfer RNA (tRNA) molecules are approximately 80 nucleotides in length. Their secondary structure includes four short double-helical elements and three loops (D, anti-codon, and T loops).
Source: RNAcentral
UCUUCCGUAGUAUGGUGGUCAGUAUGUGAGCUUGUCAUAUUCGACAUCGCUCGAGACCCGGGUUAAAUUCCCGGCGGGAAAG